RNAcentral lists this ribosomal RNA (509 nucleotides) under uncultured bacterium. RNAcentral describes it as "bacterial SSU rRNA". It matches the Rfam family "Bacterial small subunit ribosomal RNA", at positions 8 to 527 of the family's 1533-position model. The record is from RNAcentral.
AGAGUUUGAUCAUGGCUCAGAACGAACGUUGGCGGCGUGGAUUAGGCAUGCAAGUCGAACGAGAACCGGGUAGCAAUACUUGGGGAAAGUGGCGAAAGGGGCAGUAAGGCGUGGGUAACCUACCCCGGGGACGGGGAUAGCCUUCCUAACGGAAGGGUAAUACCUGGCGAUCUGGCGAGAGGACAUCCUUUUACCAGGAAAUGAAUUUCGCCUCGGGAGGGGCUCACGUGAUAUUAGCUUGUUGGUGAGGUAACGGCUCACCAAGGCCGAGAUGUCUAGCGGGUGUGAGAGCACGACCCGCGCCACUGGCACUGAGACACUGGCCAGACUCCUACGGGAGGCUGCAGUCGAGGAUCUUUGGCAAUGGGCGCAAGCCUGACCAAGCGACGCCGCGUGUGCGAUGAAGGCCUUCGGGUUGUAAAGCACUGUCGAGGGGGAGGAAGCCGAAAGGUUGACCUAUCCCUGGAGGAAGCACGGGCUAAGUUCGUGCCAGCAGCCGCGGUAAUACA